UAUUGAACCACACUGGAAUCAACAAUGAACAGUGUUCAACUGAUUGAUUACAAUUGUCUUUUAGAGCUGCUUUACAACAGAUCUAAAUUCAGUUUACCUCAAAUCAACAAAUCCUUUUAUCACUGUAAAGCUACUUUUAUAAAGCAGUAUAUAAAAGGUUACUUAACUAAACCUGAAGAAAAUUGACAACACUCAGAACACACAAUUCCUGCAGGCUCAACGUGUCAGAACAGAUCAUUUUUGCAGGUUAGCAGUGGGUAUGCAAAUCUGCAUUUUUCAAAUAAACAAUGUUACCACUUUUUGGGUUCAUUAGUGACAAGAACUGCUUUAAAUCACAGAUGAAGUCUUGCAAGUAGGUGUCUACAUUUAGGCAGAAUUAGUAACAACGUUCCAGAAGUGAUCCACCAUUUAUAUAGAGAGAAAAAAAAAAAAAAUAAACAAACCACACCAUUAGGAGAAAGCAUUAAAGCAGCUCUACAAACCUCUUAGCACUCAAAUUCUGGAUAAAGUAACAUGAAAUGUACACAGAACAAACCAUUAAAACACUUUUUUUUAUUUUUUUUAUUUAGUUACUAAAGAACACGUUGGACAUCAGCACCUAAAAUCAUUCAUCAGAAGGACUCCAGGUGCAGUUAGCAGAACCGGACGCCGCAUCCUGGCUCAAGGUGGCGUUAGCAGAAUCGGACGCCGCAUCCUGGCUCAAGGUGGCGUUAGCAGAGGGUGCGUCAUCCUGGCUCAAGGUAGCGUUCGCAGAACCAGAC
Long non-coding RNA from Sinocyclocheilus grahami, 761 nucleotides. RefSeq lists it as uncharacterized. NCBI's taxonomy places the organism in Eukaryota, Metazoa, Chordata, Actinopteri, Cypriniformes, Cyprinidae. The transcript is spliced from 3 exons. The record is from RefSeq and is a predicted model, not a curated record.